GGCGUGCCUAAUACAUGCAAGUCGAGCGAUGAGGCUCCUUCGGGAGUCAUCAGCGGCGAACGGGUGAGUAACACGUAGGUGACUUGCCCCGAAGAUGGGGAUAACCUCUGGAAACGGGGGCUAAUACCCAAUGUGCUCGGUGAUUCGGUUGAUCGAGUAAAGCUCCGGCGCUUCGGGAGAGGCCUGCGGCCCAUCAGCUAGUUGGUAGGGUAACGGCCUACCAAGGCAGAGACGGGUAGGGGGCGUGAGAGCGCGGACCCCCACACUGGCACUGCGACACGGGCCAGACUCCUACGGGAGGCAGCAGUAAGGAAUAUUGCGCAAUGGACGAAAGUCAGACGCAGCGACGCCGCGUGGGCGAUGAAGGCCUUCGGGUUGUAAAGCCCUUUUAUGGGGGAAGAGAAAAAGGACGGUACCCCAUGAAUAAGUCCCGGCUAACUACGUGCCAGCAGCCGCGGUAAAACGUAGGGGACAAGCGUUAUCCGGAUUCACUGGGCGUAAAGAGCGUUGAGGCGGUUCCGUAAGUUGGGCGUGAAAGCUCCGGGCUUAACCCGGAGAUGUCGUUCAAUACUGCGGGGCUUGAGGACAGCAGAGGAAGGUGGAAUUCCCGGUGUAGUGGUGAAAUGCGUAGAUAUCGGGAGGAACACCCGUGGCGAAGGCGGCCUUCUGGGCUGUUCCUGACGCUGAAGGCGAAAGCUAGGGGAGCGAACGGGAUUAGAUACCCCGGUAGUCCUAGCUGUAAACGAUGGAUGCUGGGUGUGGGGGGUGUAAAUUCCCUCUGUGCCGAAGCAAACGCGUUAAGCAUCCCGCCUGGGGACUACGGNCGCAAGGCUAAAACUCAAACGAAUUGACGGGGGCCCGCACAAGCAGCGGAGCGUGUGGUUUAAUUCGAUGCUACACGAAGA
RNAcentral lists this ribosomal RNA (905 nucleotides) under uncultured organism. RNAcentral's name for it is "bacterial SSU rRNA". It matches the Rfam family "Bacterial small subunit ribosomal RNA", at positions 41 to 967 of the family's 1533-position model. The record is from RNAcentral.